This 205-nucleotide long non-coding RNA is filed under the name Elaeis guineensis (African oil palm). Its description in RNAcentral is "long non-coding RNA (EGUI_LNC009286)". The record is from RNAcentral. Lineage: Eukaryota; Viridiplantae; Streptophyta; Magnoliopsida; Arecales; Arecaceae.
ACAAACAUGCCAUGGGAGACAUCCACACCAAGGAGCUAAUUAAAUAUGAAACAACAACUGAUAUAUGAUGCUAAGAAGCCCUUUCCUAAGGAUGGCAAUGGGUUAAGCUAGUUAAUACUCGUAUUCAUUUCAGAAUUAAAAACUCCACGUCCAUAUCUGCCUUCUCCUCGAGUCGAGUAAGGUUGGCUGCAAGUAGUGGUGCGGA